RNAcentral lists this long non-coding RNA (327 nucleotides) under Mytilus galloprovincialis (Mediterranean mussel). The record is from RNAcentral. Lineage: Eukaryota; Metazoa; Mollusca; Bivalvia; Mytilida; Mytilidae.
AUCAAAAUGAGCAAGUCUUCAAUACUGUUAGCAUUAAGAAACUACUUCCAUUGAUCCUACAAAAACAGAUACCAACAAUAACAACUUGUUAGGUUUAAAUGUGUUUUAUGAAUUUAUUUCAAUCUUAAUCAUCACUUUCUUCGUCUGUUGAAACCUUGAAGAUUUUUUCUCAGUACCGUUUUGUUUUUAUAAAGGGACGAAACACCAUUACUAACCGUGUAUGAGAUAAGCCCCGCCUCCCUACUAACCUAAUAUCAAAUAUACACGGUCUCCACGAGGGCGCUUUUAACCAAUCACAUUCCUAGAAAUAUAUAGGAGGUAAGAAAA